GAUGAACGCUGGCGGCGUGCCUAAUACAUGCAAGUCGAGCGAACGGACGAGAAGCUUGCUUCUCUGAUGUUAGCGGCGGACGGGUGAGUAACACAUGGAUAACCUACCUAUAAGACUGGGAUAACUUCGGGAAACCGGAGCUAAUACCGGAUAAUAUUUUGAACCGCAUGGUUCAAAAGUGAAAGACGGUCUUGCUGUCACUUAUAGAUGGAUCCGCGCUGCAUUAGCUAGUUGGUAAGGUAACGGCUUACCAAGGCAACGAUGCAUAGCCGACCUGAGAGGGUGAUCGGCCACACUGGAACUGAGACACGGUCCAGACUCCUACGGGAGGCAGCAGUAGGGAAUCUUCCGCAAUGGGCGAAAGCCUGACGGAGCAACGCCGCGUGAGUGAUGAAGGUCUUCGGAUCGUAAAACUCUGUUAUUAGGGAAGAACAUAUGUGUAAGUAACUGUGCACAUCUUGACGGUACCUAAUCAGAAAGCCACGGCUAACUACGUGCCAGCAGCCGCGGUAAUACGUAGGUGGCAAGCGUUAUCCGGAAUUAUUGGGCGUAAAGCGCGCGUAGGCGGUUUUUUAAGUCUGAUGUGAAAGCCCACGGCUCAACCGUGGAGGGUCAUUGGAAACUGGAAAACUUGAGUGCAGAAGAGGAAAGUGGAAUUCCAUGUGUAGCGGUGAAAUGCGCAGAGAUAUGGAGGAACACCAGUGGCGAAGGCGACUUUCUGAUCUGUGACUGACGCUGAUGUGCGAAAGCGUGGGGAUCAAACAGGAUUAGAUACCCUGGUAGUCCACGCCGUAAACGAUGAGUGCUAAGUGUUAGGGGGUUUCCGCCCCUUAGUGCUGCAGCUAACGCAUUAAGCACUCCGCCUGGGGAGUACGACCGCAAGGUUGAAACUCAAAGGAAUUGACGGGGACCCGCACAAGCGGUGGAGCAUGUGGUUUAAUUCGAAGCAACGCGAAGAACCUUACCAAAUCUUGACAUCCUUUGACAACUCUAGAGAUAGAGCCUUCCCCUUCGGGGGACAAAGUGACAGGUGGUGCAUGGUUGUCGUCAGCUCGUGUCGUGAGAUGUUGGGUUAAGUCCCGCAACGAGCGCAACCCUUAAGCUUAGUUGCCAUCAUUAAGUUGGGCACUCUAAGUUGACUGCCGGUGACAAACCGGAGGAAGGUGGGGAUGACGUCAAAUCAUCAUGCCCCUUAUGAUUUGGGCUACACACGUGCUACAAUGGACAAUACAAAGGGCAGCGAAACCGCGAGGUCAAGCAAAUCCCAUAAAGUUGUUCUCAGUUCGGAUUGUAGUCUGCAACUCGACUACAUGAAGCUGGAAUCGCUAGUAAUCGUAGAUCAGCAUGCUACGGUGAAUACGUUCCCGGGUCU
This 1372-nucleotide ribosomal RNA is filed under the name uncultured bacterium. RNAcentral's name for it is "bacterial SSU rRNA". It matches the Rfam family "Bacterial small subunit ribosomal RNA", at positions 28 to 1381 of the family's 1533-position model. The record is from RNAcentral.